Homo sapiens (human) is the source of this 1960-nucleotide long non-coding RNA. Ensembl annotates it as long intergenic non-protein coding RNA 2402. NCBI's taxonomy places the organism in Eukaryota, Metazoa, Chordata, Mammalia, Primates, Hominidae. The record is from Ensembl.
GUGGUCUCUCUUAAAGACAUGUCAUAUGAACAUUCUGUUGCCAGUCCUCAGUAAUAUCAGGCAAUUCACCUAGAAUUCAGAAAGCAACAAAUAGAACAAUUCCUCUCUCUUGGGACUUCAUUUUCUUGGAUCUGAAUUUUUAAGUCCUGAAGAUUCUGAAAUAUUCCAAAGGAUUAGGAGUUUAAAAUUCUCUCUUCCUCAUGGAGGAAAACCAGGAGAUAUACAAAGAGGUAUCCUGCUAGAGGAUCCCAGGCUAACGAUGGAUUAGGGAAGAACAGGCAAGAUUAUCUAGUUUAUAUUAUUCUAUUUCCACUUUGUUAGUGACUUACACUUAAUUACAGUCUUAAUAAAUAUUCUAGUUUUGUCUCAACUGUUAUCUGGGUAUUAUGGCAGGAGACUUAUUUAAAUAUAGAUCAUGAAGCCCCCUUGGUGUUAAAGGGCAGAAUUAUCCUCCUGGCAGCAGUAAUUAGCAAGAGACCUUUAAGGUAGGAAUUACACAUAAUGUCAUUUUUAACACCAAUACCAAUCAAUUAGUAGUGGCUGCCUGAAGCCACAUCCAGAUUCAAGCAGGAAAGAAUGCUUUGAUCAAUUAGUACUCCUAUCAAUCAUGAAUACAACAGAGGAAGUGGCAACACUGGUGAAUGAUGAGUAUCAUCCCUGACCUAAAGAAAGUUGCAUAUCAAGGAACAGGGUUAGGGCCUUGGAGGAUCUGGGUUUUCUAUAAUUAAAAAGGACAAUUCUUUUUAUUAAGGAAGAAAAAUAUAUUAAGGAAGUUAUCAUUUACCAUAUAAUUUCACAUCAUAAUUUCUUUGGGCAAUUGCCUUCAUUUCCUUCAAAUGUUCAUCACCCAACAUGGUUUGCAGGUCCUUUGGCAUGUGGAUUAUGCAUGAUGAGGCACAUUCUGGUUUAUCUCUGUACAUUCUAAAAUGCUGUGCCCAGAACUCCCUGGAAAGGGGUGGAAUAGGGAACAGCAUAGACAAAAAGAUAUCCCCAAGUAAUAUUGGAAAUGAAGAAAUAGAAUAAAAACCACAAAACAGCAAGAAUAGCCUCCAACACCUUUAUUAAAUCUAAGAGAAACAGUAGAGGUGUGUCUAACUAGUAUGGCACCACCAAAAAGAAGAGGCAGGCAAAGAAUCUAAGGAAGAUGCCUCCAGUGAAAGAAACUCCAGUGCUAGCCAGAAACUUACAGUCAAGGAUGAUGUGUCCAAGCGAGGAGGACAUAAGAGAAGCAAGGUGCCAAAUAAAGAAUGAGAGGUCAAAUGUAAUACAAUUUGCUGACUGUAAGGGGGAGAGUUUUUUUCCCCAAAAUGCCAAAGUACAUAAAGAUAAAGGUGAAAGUUUCCUCUCACCAGUUCCAGUGUUAACAGUGAGAGUUCUUGGGCAAGCCCUCCCCAAAUGACCGAAAUGGCCCUCCUGCUACUCCAGGACUACAUUUUACCAGCAUAGUGACAAAGUAAAAAGCAAAUGAUUAGUUCAAGCCAGUGAUGUGAAGGACACAAUUGGAGAUACUGGUUACUUUACAAAGCAUUUAACUGGAAUGGCAUAUUUUCCAUAAUGACCAGACUGCUUUGAGGAAUUAAGGUUGACUUAUAAAGCUCAAAAAAAGCUUCUUGGAAAGGCUGGUCUGGUAUGUUGUCUGCAAGGUUCCUUUACAAGUUCCCUGACCUUUGGUAACUAAGGAAUGUCACUUUCUGACAGUCCCAGGAACCUCAAAUUAUUUGAGCACUUUGAGGAAAGAGGAACUCACCCAAUUCAUACAGAUAUUGCAAUAGUCUGAUGGCAAAUCCUUGGCAUGGCUUCUAGCCUUGAGGCUUUUAAAAGUCUAAUCUGAGAUUCCUUAUGAAAAAGUUCCAGCAAAGUCAGUCUUAAAAGAGUUUAUAUGCAGCCUGAAUGACAUAGUAAGAAUCCCAUCUCUAAAAGAAGAAGAAAAAUAAAUAAAAAUAAAAAAGCCUAUAUAGCC